This 72-nucleotide transfer RNA is filed under the name Ovis aries (sheep). It matches the Rfam family "tRNA". From Rfam's summary of the family: Transfer RNA (tRNA) molecules are approximately 80 nucleotides in length. Their secondary structure includes four short double-helical elements and three loops (D, anti-codon, and T loops). Lineage: Eukaryota; Metazoa; Chordata; Mammalia; Artiodactyla; Bovidae. The record is from Rfam by way of RNAcentral.
UCCCUGGUGGCUCAGAGGUUAAAGCAUCUGCCUGCAAUGCAGGAGACCUGGGCUCGAUCCUUGGGUUGGGAA